CUAAUUUUUUUUUCUUAUUCUUCCUUCUUCUCCUCUAUUGACCGCAAAAAGGAAUUCUCUUUUCUUCUCCGUCCUUUCUUCUUCUCAAUUUUCUCUGUUUUCUCUGCUAUUGGUUUUAUAUUGUCGGUGCGGUUUUUGAGGAAGAGAUAAGUAACUAAAUCCAGUGGUGAUAGUCAUGGAUGUGCAGGUAUGCGAGAGAAUCAAAGAGACAAUAUAAAGGUGACAACAAGAGAUUGGGUUCUCCCGCGAUUACAGGUGAUAACUUACUUCCUACGAUUUUUUCCCUUUGCAUCAAUGUUUCUGAGAGUAUCUAAGCUGUGGUUACGUUAGUACCAAACACUCUUCAAGUAAAAAGUUGAUAUGCUUCGAUUAUUGUUUCGGAAAAGACACCUGCUGGCGGCCAUUAGGAAGAGGAUCAAAAGAGCGACGAUGAAAUGCUACUGGUUGUCAACAUAAGUGAAAACGAAGGCACGAAGGCGAAGGUGAGGAUAUUGGCGGCGAAAGGCCACCCUUGGUCGAAGAUAGUGAUGCCACCAUAUAUCUCGCGAUUGAAGGUACUGACAGAGGCUUCUCCGUCGCCUGCUUUUACCAGUAUGGUACCUGGAUGCUGAUUAUGCCGUUUCAAGGGUACUGAUCUUAGAAGUUGUUUUUUACCAGUUUGUUGCUCGCUACACCAAGCAUAUGAAUUAAUCCGGCAAUUAAAAAACACGGAAGAGUAAAGAUGGAGUAGACAAGCUAUAGUGAGGGUAACAGGUCUCCUCACGGAAAUGUGAAAAUGCAACCAGACAAUGCAUAUGCUUUGAGAAAGUAUGGCCACAAAGAAAUUGUUGACUUUUCCUUCCCUAGGUGAUUACUAUACAUUAUUAUCAACUAAGCAUGGAAUGAUGCGAUUGUACAGACUCACAAAACUCUUACGUGCUAUGAAUCUAUUGUGGAAUUGGAUGUAUGAGUACCACUACCAGAAUAUGAAAUGAUUAGUUACGGGGAAGCAUUUUGGAGGGUGUAUGAAUGAAAGUUCAUGAAUUUCCUUGAGUUUUGGACAAGUGUUGUCUGUGCAUACAGUUCUGAACCUGACUUCCGGCCCUUGGCUUAUCCCUUUGCUCAAUCACAUUGCUGCUUCUUUGGGUACUUUCAUUCCUGGAUUUUUACUGAUGAUGAACAACCAUCUAGAUCAAAGCGUACUACGGAUCCGGUGUCCACGCGGUUUCUGGAAUUGAUGCGCAGUUGCUCAUUAAGAAAUUCUCACACUAUGAAAUUCGAAUAACACAUUAGUAGUUUGUUCUUUUCCCUGUUUUUAUAACUUAUGAGGUAGUUCCAUUAGUUAGGACAACCAAUACGUUAGGAUGCCAUGUUUCUUAAUGCUUGCACUGUGAAGCGGAACUAUCAUUCAUCUAUUGCAGUCCAAUUAUUCUGCCA
Long non-coding RNA from Papaver somniferum (opium poppy), 1416 nucleotides. RefSeq lists it as uncharacterized. The record is from RefSeq and is a predicted model, not a curated record. NCBI's taxonomy places the organism in Eukaryota, Viridiplantae, Streptophyta, Magnoliopsida, Ranunculales, Papaveraceae. The transcript is spliced from 9 exons.